AUGGUUAUGGGCUUUACAUAUAAUCAGAAGCCGCUUUUGGGAUGUGGGCUUGCAACUGGGCAAAACCGUGUUUGGUCGGGCUUCGAGAUUCACGUUGAGAAUAGUCAGGAAUCCCAACUUAACGAAAGCCCUCACCUUAAAGUCAAACAUCUCCCUUGCAUCUCUCAACCUCAUCAUGGACUUGCUCUGCUAGUAUUCCUGACAUCUCUAGUUCCGCAUAAAUGUUGUAACAUAUGUUUGAUUCUUCUCUCAUCAUCCCCUCAAUUUGAUCAUCUCAAUGCCACCUAUCUAGUACUUCUUUUUCCCCAAAAGGCGAUGUAUCUAGUAUACUGGGCUAGUGCUCCAAGUAUGUUAAAAUGA
This 360-nucleotide ribosomal RNA is filed under the name Triticum aestivum (bread wheat). RNAcentral describes it as "partial small subunit ribosomal RNA". The record is from RNAcentral. Lineage: Eukaryota; Viridiplantae; Streptophyta; Magnoliopsida; Poales; Poaceae.